Molecule: ribosomal RNA, 250 nt
Filed under: uncultured prokaryote
Description: partial 16S rRNA
Rfam family: Bacterial small subunit ribosomal RNA
Source: RNAcentral
ACGUAGGGGGCAAGCGUUGUCCGGAAUUAUUGGGUGUAAAGCGCGCGCAGGUGGUUAUAUAAGUCUGAUGUGAAAUUUCGGGGCUCAACCCCGGGAUUGAUUGGAAACUGUAUGACUUGAGUACAGGAGAGGUAAGCGGAAUUCCCAGUGUAGCGGUGAAAUGCGUAGAUAUUGGGAGGAACACCAGUGGCGAAGGCGGCUUACUGGGCUGUAACUGACACUGAGGCGCGAAAGCUAGGGGAGCAAACGG